Long non-coding RNA from Cyprinus carpio (common carp), 992 nucleotides. RefSeq lists it as uncharacterized. The record is from RefSeq and is a predicted model, not a curated record. Lineage: Eukaryota; Metazoa; Chordata; Actinopteri; Cypriniformes; Cyprinidae. The transcript is spliced from 4 exons.
CUGGCCGCUACCCAAUGUUCUCUUUACUGAUGUUAACCCUAAAACUGUGGACCAGUAUUUGAUCACUCAAGAGGAAACCUUCACUUACCGCCAUGUUUCAACUUUAUUUGACACACUUUAUUAAGGCAGAGGAUUGUCCUUUAACAAUGGCUACUCAUGGAAAAAAAAACAACAGCAGUUUUCUAUGAGUCACCUGAAAAACUUUGGAGAGGGGAGGAAGACUCUAGAAAACAUAUUCAACGAGAGUGCUACUUUCUGUGUGGAACAUUUAAAGAAGAGCAGGUGGCCAGUGUUAUUGGUAGCCUGGUGUUCGGCCAUCAAUAUGAGUAUUAUGAUGUUGAUUUCGAGAAGCAUCUACAAAUGAGCGCAGAGUCAAUGUUUCAGGUAGCCAAAUAAUUUUUCUGUCAAUUUUAAACCACAACUGUAAAACAUAUGAAAUUCAGCCAAAUAAUUCAGCAGAGAUCCAUUGACAGGCAAAAGGCAGUGUCCAGGAGAGCACCUGGCUCACGUGGAGCUGUUCAUCUUUCUCACCAUUCUCCUGCAGAAUUUCAGUUUCAGCCCUCCUCCUGGUGAGGAGGUUCCAGUCUGGAGAGCCAGGUGGGCUUCACACAAGCCCCUCUGCAAGCUCUGCGUUCACCCGAGAUGCUAAAUCCUGCUGUUUGAGGAUGCAGUGUAUGGGGUAUAGCAAAUUUUAUGCAAGAAAUAUCACCCGCAGUUCCAUUAUGUUUAUUUGGGACUUUUUGAUAUAAAUAAUAAUUUUUUUUUUGCCAUUAUGUCCCACCAUUACAUAGAUGAUGAUCUGUACUAUAAACACAGGAAAUGUGCUCUGGCCUUAAACACUUACUUCCUGAAUACACAAGGAAAGAAUUUGUUCUGUCUGAAAACAAAACAGUUGUUAAACUGUGGGAACCUUUUUCAGAACCUCUGUUUAGCUCUUUAUGCAUUAUUUUGUUCCCUCCUACAACAUCUAUUGAUUAUGCAUAAGUUUUUAA